Molecule: long non-coding RNA, 2283 nt
Filed under: Sinocyclocheilus grahami
Lineage: Eukaryota; Metazoa; Chordata; Actinopteri; Cypriniformes; Cyprinidae
Description: lncRNA (ENSSGRG00000001030.1)
Source: RNAcentral
AGAUUGUGACAAAGCAACUGAACAGCAUUAGUGCUUUCUUAUUGUCAAAGAAUCGUGUGCUCUCUCGCCAGUUGUCCCUGGCAACAGAGUCACGCUUCCACAUGCUCUGUAGCUUCGUGUGCUCUCUCGCUAGUUGUCCCUGGCAACAGAGUCACGCUUCCACAUGCUCUGUAGCUGCUAAUUGUUGGAGAGUUUUGUAAUUGAAUGGCACAAACUAUUUUUAAUGGUGCUUCUGUUCAUUUGAAGAGGAAAGGAGGCAGAAGCAGUGUGGUGAAAAAGAAAGCAUUCUCUGAACCCAGUUCUCAGGAUGGGGUGGAAAGUGACAACAUCAGGAAUAUAAGGAGUAUAAUGACUCCUCGCCUACCGCCUCAUCAGGAAGAGAUCAUUGGCCGGAAUCCAGAGAAGAAAGAGAGUGAAAACCUUAUCAAGAAACGUCUUCGUCCUAUGACCGCGAAAUAAGCUGGAAGGAAAUGUAUUUUUAUUUAAAUGUUUUUUUUUUUUUUUGUAUUUUAAAUCAAACCAGUUUUUCAAAUAUUUUUUAUUUUAAUCUGAUGCACUUUUCAUUUACAAUAUCUAUAAAUUCUCUUUUUACUUUUUAUCAAAUAUGGCACAUAAUAUAUUAUCCUGGAAAUGAACUAACGCUACCGCUGAUUUUAAUGGCAAGUUGAGAUGAUGGACAGUUUCAUAAGCUCAUGUAUGGAAGAAUGGACAAAUUUUUGCUGCUUGAGUUAGAAUGGAAGUUCAGAAAUCACUACUGCACAUUUUUGACAUAGGGUUUCCUAUUGCUGUAUACUUAAACCACGUUAUUUGUUUACAUUGUGCUUAUGCUGCCCUGCAUGUAAAAGCAAAACUAUUGUUUCCCCCUAACCACUUUAUACUUUUCAAGAUAUAAAAAUGUACACACACAAAAUAUAGCACAAAGUAAAAGUUCAAGGGUUUUUGUGAUUUUAAUUUUUCAUCCCACUUGUCAACCUUCUUUUGUUUAUGUAUGUAUCACCCUGUCACAAACCAUUAAUAUGUGCCAUUCACAUGAUAAAGGCUCUCCAUUACCCCGUCAGUAAAACUGUGUGCCAGAUGCCUAAUGACACCCAAAGGAUUAUUUGUUUGAAAUACUGAACAAAUGCUUAUGUAACAGACGGGUAAUUGAAUUUCCCGAUCGCAGCACGUGGCCCCGUGCCCUUAUCUAAGAUGGCAUAAAAGGAGAGAGGGGAAGGGUGAGGAACUGGGAACAGGUCUAUGUUGUUGUUGGCUCUGAAUGACAGGAUGUGAACGGGGCUGCUUGCAAUGAUGAAUCACGGUUUUGAUGGUGUCAAAAGUGUGGGAGCAUGUGGAGAAGACAAAAUAGAGGAGUGAAAACCGACUGUGUGAGUAGGAGGAAUAAGGAGAGAUGAAGAGGAGGAAAAAAACAUACAAAAUGAACCAUGUGCAGCCCAGCUGUGCUUGUGCAGGUCAUUGAAGUGCAAUUUUCCUUUGAUUUCAUAAUUGUGAAUGUUAGAAAUGGGGUGUGAAAAACUUCAUAAACAGUCUGUUUUCUUUACAUGCCUUUAUGUAUGUUUCCUUCCGGUCUACUUCUGCACGCGUGCAUGAUGUACAUAUAGAUGUUUAUGUGCUUCCUAGUUAAUGUAGGGUCAUGACAGACCGUAAUCAUGAAUUAUAUGUCACUGUUGUUUUUUUGUUUUGUUAGCGCAAAGUGAGUCAUUGUCCGUGUCAUUUGAUUGCGUCACUUAAUUGACGCAUUGACACACAAAGUCUAGUCAUUUUAUUUUGUUUUCCUAAUUUCUUUUUAUCUCAUUCCUCUGCAUGCAGAAAAUGACGGGGAGGCAUGUAAGCAUCAGCUUGAUUCGUAGCAUCCAGGCCUGGUAAACAAUGCAGUAAUAAUCAUCUGUAGCUAUAAUUUAGGGCAGAAUAUUACCACAUCAUUUGAAAUGAUAAAUAGGCAGAGUGCAGCGCUAUCUUUCCUGUCACUCUGUCAUGUGCUGAAGAGACGGAAGAAUCGAGAGCCUGUGGGGAUGGGUCUAAUUGCUUGGCCUCAUCAGGAGAUGCACUUUAAAUAGGUUUUAGACAAAGUAGUGAGUUCAUCGAGAGGAAUGCUGGGUGAAGACUUCAACUUUGUGUAUCUGAUUGCUUUAAUCCAACCAAUUUGUUCAGACUAAGAAAAUUGAUGCUUGUGCCAUCUUGCCCUAUUUGUGCCAGGGUGAGGAUGAGUGACUAUAAUUUAUACUGUUCAAAUGAAGUGUGAAACAUCUUGGUUGUACAUGCAUGCUGAAACAAUAAAAAUCGGUG